AGUGAACGCUGGCGGUAGGCCUAACACAUGCAAGUCGAACGGCAGCACAGUAAGAGCUUGCUCUUACGGGUGGCGAGUGGCGGACGGGUGAGGAAUACAUCGGAAUCUACUUUUUCGUGGGGGAUAACGUAGGGAAACUUACGCUAAUACCGCAUACGACCUACGGGUGAAAGCAGGGGAUCUUCGGACCUUGCGCGAUUGAAUGAGCCGAUGUCGGAUUAGCUAGUUGGCGGGGUAAAGGCCCACCAAGGCGACGAUCCGUAGCUGGUCUGAGAGGAUGAUCAGGCCACAGAGAAGUUAGGCAAGGUCCAGACUCCCUAGGGGGGGAGGAGGGGGGAAUAUUGGCCAAGGGGGGCAAGGCUUGUCCAACCCUUCCGGGUGGGGGGAAAAGGCCUUCGGGGUUGUAAGCCCUUUUGUUGGGAAAGAAAAGCAGCAGGUUAAUUCCCCGCCUUUUUGAGGGUAACCAAAGAAGAAGCACCGGCUAACUUCGUG
Molecule: ribosomal RNA, 492 nt
Filed under: uncultured bacterium
Lineage: Bacteria
Description: partial 16S ribosomal RNA
Rfam family: Bacterial small subunit ribosomal RNA
Source: RNAcentral